CCUACGGGUGGCAGCAGUGGGGAAUAUUGCACAAUGGGGGCAACCCUGAUGCAGCGACGCCGCGUGAGUGAAGAAGUAAUUCGUUAUGUAAAGCUCUAUCAGCAGGGAAGAAAAUUACGUUACCUGCACAUGAAGCACCGGCUAACUCCGUGCCAGCAGCCGCGGUAAUACGGAGGGUGCGAGCGUUCAUCGGAAUUACUGGGCGUAAAGCGCUCGUAGGCGGUAUGUCAAGUCGAGUGUGAAAGCCCCGCGCUCAACGUGGGAACUGCCUUGGAAACUGGCAAACUGGAGUGUGUGAGAGGAUAGUGGAAUUCCAGGUGUAGGAGUGAAAUGCGUAGAUAUCUGGAGGAACAUCAGUGGCGAAGGCGACUAUCUGGCACAUAACUGACGCUGAGGAGCGAAAGCGUGGGUAGCAAACAGGAUUAGAUACCCCAGUAGUC
This 440-nucleotide ribosomal RNA is filed under the name uncultured bacterium. RNAcentral's name for it is "partial 16S ribosomal RNA". It matches the Rfam family "Bacterial small subunit ribosomal RNA", at positions 338 to 795 of the family's 1533-position model. The record is from RNAcentral.